UAGAAGUGGUGAGUCUGGGCGUCUUGGCCUUGUUUCCGAUCCUAGAGGACAGCUUCCAGCUUCUCACCGUCGAAGAUGAUGCUAGCUGUGGGGUGUCAUAUACGGCCUUUAUUAGGGUGUUCUCGUGAUUUUUAUCCUUCACCUGGUCAACACGGUGAAUCCCGUUGGUGGCUGCAUGGCUGUCGAACCAUCCUUGCAUCCCUGGAAUAAACCCCGCUCGGCUGCAGUGAGUGGUCGUGUUGACUGUUGAA
Leopardus geoffroyi (Geoffroy's cat) is the source of this 251-nucleotide long non-coding RNA. RefSeq lists it as uncharacterized. Lineage: Eukaryota; Metazoa; Chordata; Mammalia; Carnivora; Felidae. The record is from RefSeq and is a predicted model, not a curated record. The transcript has 2 exons.